GGCCUCAUGGCAGAGUGGUCAUGCAGCGGACUGCAAAUCCGCGUACGCCGGUUCGAUUCCGACUGAGGCCUCCA
This 74-nucleotide transfer RNA is filed under the name Luteimonas terricola. Its description in RNAcentral is "tRNA-Cys". It matches the Rfam family "tRNA". From Rfam's summary of the family: Transfer RNA (tRNA) molecules are approximately 80 nucleotides in length. RNAcentral also lists the same sequence under 10 other names. Lineage: Bacteria; Pseudomonadati; Pseudomonadota; Gammaproteobacteria; Lysobacterales; Lysobacteraceae. The record is from RNAcentral.